Molecule: long non-coding RNA, 3589 nt
Organism: Lepisosteus oculatus (spotted gar)
Lineage: Eukaryota; Metazoa; Chordata; Actinopteri; Semionotiformes; Lepisosteidae
Source: Ensembl
CAAACGCACAGCUUUCUUUCAACUGCACGGGCAGGCCCCGACACUCAAGAGGAAAUCGGAUCUGGGGUUUUGAAAAACCACGACAGGAAACAUUAGUGCUGAUGAAGGUCGGGGCUCAGCUCCUCGUUAAAUACAGCCAGUCCUGAGAGAACCCUGAAUUACAGAACAGUAAUCAAGGAGCAACUAAAAUGUCCCGGGCUGUCCUGCUGAACCUGCUACUUUUAUUUCCAGCUCCUGCUCUCGGCAAGGUCUGGAUCAACCAGUCUCCCGGCAGGACCUGCCAUCGCGCCGGGGGCUCGGUGACCUUCCACUGCAGCAUCCUGUCCGACGGCGAGAAGCUGGAGGACUGCGCGCCCUACUGGUACGUCCCGGGGCCGGCGGGAUCGGCGGGGCCCGCGGAGCUCCAGGACGUGACCGGCGCGGAGCAGUUCCGAACCCGGAUCAGCGUGCAGGAGGACAUGGCCACCUACUCCUUCCUGACCCUCGCCGGGCUGCAGGAGCAGGACAACAACACCUUCUACUGCUCCCUCAAGUGCAGGAUCAACGGCAAAUUCGAAUCGCGGACAGGACCGGGCAGCGUGCUGGGAGUGACCGGAGCACCCACUCAGGAAUGCCACGGCGAGCAGGGAGAGCCCUUCCCGGGAGAGCUGAGGGUGGAGCAGUGGGCGUCACCGCGGCCCCACUGCGCCGGCGGCUCGGUCAUGCUGCACUGCCAGAUCUCGUCCCGCCGCCGCCGGCUGGAGGAGUGCCGCGCCUCCUGGCUCGGCCCCGACCCGGACACGGCGCCGGCGGCGAACGGGACGGGGGCGGGGGGGACCUACAGCUGGCUGCUCCUCACCCGCCUCCGGGCCAACGGCAGCGGCGGCUUCCUGUGCAGCGUGAGCUGCAGGGUCGAAGGGCGGCGCUGGACCGUGACCGGGCCCGGCAGCCUCCUCAACGUCACGCCCUGCGGCAGCUGGCAGCAAGGCAGGUGCUCUCGAACCCGCGGCCAUGGAGCUCGCCCCACCCCAGAACCCGAAUCUCGGGAUCCGCCAUUCCGAAGCGCCGCCCGUCUUCCGAUUCCGAUGUGGCGUGAGCCGGGGGGGCCAGCAGGGGGCGUGUGUGCACCAGCAGACGGCCCAGGCAGUUCAGACAGGGAGGUGCAGGGGCGUUCUGGCUCCGUGUCUGCGAUCCGGCACUCGGGCCAAACCACAGAGCCACGCCCUUGGCCUGAUUCACGCUGAAGGAAUCGGGCAGUUUCUCCUCGCAGGACGGAGCUGACGAGACGCUGGGUUGAAGAACGCAGGAACUGCAGGACCCCGGGUUUCAGGCUCACCUGCUCACCGCCGGGCAGAGGCCUGAAGCACAGGAGUCCGCAGUCACAACACAUGUUCAUCACGUGCUCUGAGCUGCCACUGCUAUAGGGACAGCCGGCCCAGGCGUUAACAGAGCUCAGGCGAGGAGUCUCAGAGAGCCGGGGUAAACCGCCCCGGUCACCAUACUGGGCCACAGGGAUGGGAGUUCUGCUCCAGAGGGAACAGCGCUAGUAUGUCUCCAGUCUGCAGGUUUAUCAAGAUCUUAUUCAAGUUCCUCUGCUGCUUCCACAGCACCUGCUGAUCCUUCUAACUGGGUACACUGGUAGGUUAGACUGGGCCCUGGUGUGAGUGUGUGAGACGCGUGUCCCACACUCAUACAGAUCAGCGAUAGGAAUUCGAAACAGCAGCACCCCUAGUCCAGACACUGAGGUACUCCCCUAACACAGCUUCUGCUAGGCUACUACAGCAUGGCUGCAGAAGACUCAGCAAAAAUUGCUUCUCCUAAAAAAGAGUAACAGAAAAGAGCAGAAUGUUUAAAAGACAUCUGCAUAGUGUGUGUGCUGACGUGGAUUAUACACUCCGAAAACUGCAGUGCCUAUGGCAAACUCUCGCUGUGUCAGUAAUUACUGAACAUAAACAACCUGCAAAACCCAACCAACAGGAACUGAAUAUUAGUCACUUCUUACCUAAAUACUAAUAUAGCAAAUUCCACAGCUCCACCACAUUUUAAAGACUCUUAUAAACUUAUUUUAAUGACUAUUAAUAACCUACCUGAACUACUUCACUUUAAUGACUAUGUUUAUAAUCGCACAAAACAGAGCAACACUAACUUUUUCACCUACAAUCUGUGAAGAAAAAAAAGCACCAUGUCCCAGUUCAGCCAUGGACGUUCGGUGCUGCAACCAAAACUCAACAUUUCCGCGUCUUGAAGUCCGAGUCCAUGUGAACUGCACAGCCACUAGCGUCGAGAGCCUGGGUCUGGCGCCCUCUGCUGGCGGCUCGCUGGCACGCAACUUGAUUUUGGGGGAUUUCAGGGAAAAUCUAUUUUUGAAAAACGGGGUAAGUUAUUAAAUGCGAAACAGCAGCGCCACCACCCCUCGAGACAGAGUUUCUGGUUCUGUGGGCCCACAGGUCGAGCCCCGAACUGACUUCACGACACGACUCAUCCGAACUGUUAGACUGCGCUCAGCUCCGGCUCACACGGAGGUUUGCCUUUUGUCAACUGCAUUUCAUAAAGUAGAACAAAACAUCUGUGUACAGAACACAACUUCAGGCCCGCAGUCCUCCAGCGCCAGGCUGGGGACCCCUGUGCCCGAACUCGCACACAGGAGCGCGUUAAAGCCGGUCUCGGCGCCGCUGGCUGGGCUUUAGCGAUGCAAGGGGCGGUAACGCCCAGCAGGUGGCAGCUUGCCAUUUGUGAUCAACUUUCCAGCUGGGCACAUAACUUCGUCCAGAAAUAGCGCUGCAGUGCAGCCGUGCGAGUAUUAGCGACACAAUCCCACUGAAUGCACAGCCGAAACAUCCACGUGAACACGACUUCGCUGCAAAGUCCAGCUGUUCUCCGGUAACAUUCUGACGUGGCAUCAACGCCCCCCGCGUGGUGUCUUCUUCCCGGGUGUUUUUGACGCAGGGCCGGCCCUCGCCGCGCAGGCGCACUGACCUUCUCCCCCUCUCUCGCUCGCGCCAGGUUGCGGCCCCCCCGUGCUGUGGCGCGUGUACUCGCUCUUCGCCGUGAACGGGCUGGUGCUGUGCGCGGCCGCCGCCAUGUGCGCCGCCCUGCUGCGGAGGAGGCUGGGCAGCCGGCGCCGCUGGGAGGUGAUGUAAGCCCCGCCCCGCCCCGCCCGGAGAUGAAGGCGGGUGGGCGUGGACGAGAGGAGCCCCGCCCCCCGUGGCGUCAUGGGAACUUCCGGCCGAGGCGCAGGCUGACUGACCGCUCGCGGGUGAAUGUCUGGCCGCACUGAUGCACUACAGUCCUGUGCCGUCUGGACGUGUCUACAUGCUACGGACUGCACCCCGCUGAUUCAGCCCGCCAUUAACCCUUCCCCUCCCGCUCACCGACACCAGUAUCCGGUUACUUCGUUGGCCGUCCUGCUUCCCCCGGCCUCAUCAUUUGCAACCUUUAUCUUAAUUUUUUGAAUGAAGUUUUUUUUGUAAUAAGGUGCCUCGCGUGUUGUUUCGUUUGUCUCACAUCUGCCUUCGUACUCAUAUCGGUGUCGGCGACGAUCCGCGCCUACAGGCCUCUUUCCAGCAGCCAGCAGCCUUUCCUAUGGCCAGCAGCCAUAUCACCCUGCAAC